Molecule: signal recognition particle RNA, 148 nt
Filed under: Gorilla gorilla gorilla (western lowland gorilla)
Lineage: Eukaryota; Metazoa; Chordata; Mammalia; Primates; Hominidae
Description: Metazoan signal recognition particle RNA
Rfam family: Metazoan signal recognition particle RNA
About the family: The signal recognition particle (SRP) is a universally conserved ribonucleoprotein.
Source: Rfam by way of RNAcentral
GCCGGGCAUAGUGGCCCGUGCCUGUAAUCCCAGCUACCUGGGAGGCUGAGGCAGGAGAAUCGCUGGAACCCAGGAGGCAGAGGGUGCAGUGAGCCGAGAUCAUGCCACUGCACUCCAGCCUGGGUGACAGAGCGAGACUCUGUCUCAA